GGGGAUGAUGGAACUGUUUCAAUAACAUCGGCCAUGUUGUGUGAUUUCGUUUAGGUGCUGUCAAAUAAAAGAUUUUGUGCAAAAUAUUGCACAAAUUAUGGACGAAACGAAAGUAAUUUAUCACAUCGAUGACGAAGAAACCCCUUAUUUAGUGAAAAUUGCGAUUUCCCCCGAGAAAGUGACUCUCGCCGAUUUUAAAAAUGUACUCAAUCGCCCCAACUACAAAUUCUUCUUCAAGUCCAUGGACGACGAUUUCGGCGUCGUCAAGGAGGAGAUCGUCGAGGAUUCCGCACACUUGCCGUGUUUUAACGGACGGGUUGUCAGUUGGUUGGUCUCGGCCGAAGGCUCGAACCAAUCGGACGGCGGCUCACAAUGUACAGAUAGCGUAACACACCAGUCCGAACAGCGAAUGGUCCCACCUCCGCCCGAUUCCGUCUGCACAGAUACCGAAAGUAUUAUAAGCUCGAGACAGGGCAGACGGCACCACAAGUAUAAUUCGCGAAUCAACGGCCAUCUCCCACGGUUAUUCGAAACGUCGUCCAUAGUUAGCUCAGAUUUAGAAACGACAAGCUUCCAGUCGGAAACGACCGGCCGACACACAGCCCUAUCUGAAUGCUCUAGUGUUAGUAGGUUACACGUAGCUAGCAGAAAAAGGCCGCAGAGACGACGAAAGCAACGAUUACAGGCAAUGUCGCGUACGAGCUCGUAUUCGAGCAUCACGGACUCGACGAUGUCCCUAAAUAUCAUCACCGUCACGUUGAAUAUGGACACUGUCAAUUUUUUAGGAAUUUCAAUAGUAGGACAAAGCAAUAAGGGAGGUGACGGCGGAAUAUACGUCGGUUCCAUAAUGAAGGGGGGCGCCGUGGCACUCGAUGGUCGAAUAGAGCCGGGCGAUAUGAUUUUACAAGUGAACGACGUUAACUUUGAGAAUAUGUCAAACGAUGAGGCGGUUAGGGUGUUAAGGGAAGUUGUGCAAAAGCCAGGACCAAUUAAAUUAGUAGUUGCCAAAUGCUGGGAUCCCAAUCCGAAAGGGUACUUCACUAUUCCAAGGACCGAACCAGUUCGACCAAUAGAUCCUGGUGCGUGGGUAGCUCACACGGCAGCAGUACGAGGGGAUCCAGUUGUGAGACCCCCGAGCAGUUCGACGGUUUCCAGCGCGUCCAUUACUAGCACGAUACCGGCCAACGAACGUGAGUCCGCCAGUCCGUUCGUUCACCGCCUAACCGUAACCUUCGUUGCAGAUAUGGAGGAGCACUUAAGUGUAAAUAGCGCGAUGGCGAUGGUCGUGCAGGCGAUGCAGCGGCCCGACAGCGGUCUCGAGAUACGCGAUCGCAUGUGGCUCAAAAUAACGAUUCCUAACGCGUUCAUAGGCACGGACCUAAUCGACUGGCUGAUGAGUCACGUCGAGGGCUUCCAAGACAGGCGCGAUACGCGCAAGUACGCCUCGCACCUUCUCAAAGCCGGAUUCAUUAGGCACACGGUGAACAAGAUCACGUUCUCCGAACAGUGCUACUAUAUCUUCGGGGAUCUCUGUUCGGCAAUGUCGAAUUUGAAGGUGCAGGGCGACGCCGACUCGGUCGGUCCGCUGCCUAACGUACCCAAUUACAUGCCGUACAGUGGAACGUAUAACCCCUUAGAGUAUAUGCCCAUGCCGUUCUACACGGCGAGCGAGCAUACGGUUUAUGGGUACAAUCGCGAGGAGUCCGUGCUGAGCGGAAGCGGUGGAUCGUCUAACGGCUCCGAUCAUCUCAAGGACGGCGGAGCGCACAGCAGCGCGUCCGAUAGUGAUAUUACUUCGCUGGGUCCCCGUUCCGCGAUACCGAUCGCGGUCGGCAACGGCAACGGAUCCUCGAACGGGUCUGAUCAGAGCAGCGGUACGCAGGUGGCGGCACAAGCGAAAGAUAUUGCCGUUUUAAGUUACCUCUAAAAGUGCAAUAUUCUACGUAUUUUGCAAGAGUUUUUUGCAAAAUUAUUUUGCGGAGCAAGUCGGUAUUGUCGGUUACCAAUUCUCCCAGACGUAAGUAACCAAAGCACACUGAAGAUGAUAAUAUAUUAGUAGUAUUAAACUUUUUUAAUUUUUAUAUAUGCUUUUUUGUAUAUGUCUACCUACUAAGAGAAGAAAGUGUACAGCUUAGUAAUUAAUGAUAUAUCUGUAUUAGGCGAAUUCGUCGUCGGUAGUUUUUUAACAAAUUUUAUUUUAUGCUAAGUGUUGUUUUGUAAAAUGGUUUAUCUAUCAGUUUUUUUUACUAUACUGUUAUAAAUUAUUUUCGUUUAAUCGAAACUUAGCGAACAAUUAGAGAAAGUAGUUUUUCAAAUAAAGAAGAAAAAAAAAGUUAAAAACGACAGGGUAUUCAAUGUAUUCACAACUAUAAUUACUGUAACAUUUCUAUACACGAGUUAUACGAGAAAUUCUUUCAAGGGACGUACAGGGAUAAUGAAAUGUUUUAUGGAAAUUAAAUGUAUGGAUAGCUAUUAUACUUUAUGGCGAGAUAACAUGUAAGUUGUAUCAAAUUAAAAGUUGUGAAUGUA
RNA transcript from Photinus pyralis (common eastern firefly), 2529 nucleotides. It is a transcript of the gene named segment polarity protein dishevelled homolog DVL-3, with no coding region annotated. NCBI's taxonomy places the organism in Eukaryota, Metazoa, Arthropoda, Insecta, Coleoptera, Lampyridae. The transcript is spliced from 10 exons. The record is from RefSeq and is a predicted model, not a curated record.